AUGCCAUGUGGGUACACUGGGUGCUGUGUGAGUGCAGUGGGUGCCGUGUGGGUGCCAUGGGGUGCUGUGUGGGUGCACUGGGAUGCUGUAUGGGUGCAGUGGGGUGCCGUGUGGGUGCACUGGGGUGCCGUGUGGGUGCCGUGUGGGUGCAGUGGGGUGCCACGCUGUGGGGCUGCGUGCUCCUCCCGGGACACGGGCCCCCUCCCCGCCUCGCCGCGGGGGGAGUUUCGCAGGAGGCCGAUGCCCGGGGGCUCGGCUGCGAUUAACCCCCGAAUCACCCGCCCCGAGCCGCGGAGCCGGCAGGGGGGUCGCCACGGGCCCCACGUCCCCACGCACCGCUCGGCGCGGCCGGGCUCAGGGACACCUCGCAGGGGACUAACGCCGCGCUGGGCACAGCGUGGCCUCCUGCACCCCACGGGGACGUGCUGGCCUCCUGCAUCCCCCCCAUGGGGACAUGGUGUCUCCUGCACCGCCCUGGGGACAUGCUGGUGUCCUGCAUCACCCCAUGGGGACGUGCUGUCCUGCUGUAUCACCCCAUGGGGACAUGGUGUCUCCUGUAUCACCCUGGGGACGUGUUGGCCUCCUGCACCACCCUGGGGACGUGCUGGCCUCCUGCACCACCCUGGGGAUGUUCUGGCCUCCUGCACCGCCCUGGGGACGUGUUGGCCUCCUGCACCACCCUGGGGACGUGCUGACCUCCUGCACCACCCUGGGGAUGUUCUGGCCUCCUGCACCACCCUGGGGAUGUUCUGGCCUCCUGCACCACCCUGGGGAUGUUCUGGCCUCCUGCACCAUCCUGGGGACGUGCUGGCCUCCUGCACCACCCUGGGGACGUGCUGGCCUCCUGCACCACCCUGGGGAUGUUCUGGCCUCCUGCACCACCCUGGGGACGUGCUGGCCUCCUGCACCACCCUGGGGAUGUUCUGGCCUCCUGCACCACCCUGGGGACGUGCUGGCCUCCUGCACCACCCUGGGGAUGUUCUGGCCUCCUGUAUCACCCUGGGGCUGCUCCAGGCCCCGCUGGGGUGUGCUGGCAGCUGCCGCCGGGUGAGGGGGGUGGUGGGUUACCCUGGGGUGGGGGGAGCAGGGGGUGCACCAGCACCGGGCGGCCUCGCCGUGGGGCUGAGCGCGCUGCUCUUCCCUCGCCCCCGUCGCUGUCUCCCCGCCGCACGGCGAUUUCGGGGAGCGUCCCCCACACCGGCCCCCACGCCCGCCGGCCGGCCGGGAGCGCCCGCACGUGUCCCGCUCCCAAGCCGCGGUGCAUUCACGGUUCGGGGAGCGCGUCCAGGCUAAGGGAAGCUGACAGGCAAACCUUUCCUGCGACAAACGGGAAUAUAGUAUCAGGCAAGGCUGACCGGAGCGUGAACCGCCGCCAAACACGGAGCAAAUUAUCGUCAACGAGAAUAGCGCGCGCUGCAGCCCGCUUACGUGCGAGGUCCCGAAUGCAGCCGGCCUGUCGGGCCGCAUCAGGGCACGGAUGCAUAAGGAAUGGGCGCCCGGCCCCGCGCAGCCGCGGCGCCCGCUGCCCGCUGCCGGCCGACCCGACCCUGCCCUGCCGAGCGCGCACACGGGCACGGGGCAAGGGGUGAAGCCUGGCCGGGGGGAUGCAAUGCAUGGGGAUGGGGGGAUGAACCCCAUCCAUGGGGAUGCACAGGAAUGGGGGGGGUGAUCCCCAUCUGCAGGGAUGCACAGGAAUGGGGGUGAACCCCAUCCAUGGGGAAGCAUGGGAAUGGGGGGGGUGAUCCCUAUGUUUGGGGAUGCACAGGAAUGGGGGGGGAACCCCGUCCAUGGGGAUGCACAGGGAUGGGGGGAUGAACCCCCUCCAUGGGGAUGCAUGGGAAUGGGGGGGUGAUCCCCAUCUGCGGGGAUGCACAGGAAAUGGGGAGGGGAACCUCAUCCAUGGAGAUGCACGGGCUGAACUGGAAAAAGGGGGGAAAAACAAAMAAAAAAAAAAAAGGGAAGAAAGCCAGGAGAGGCGCCGGCCCAGGCUGGCGGAAAACACGGGGCCGCGGGGGGAAACGCGCUGCUCUGCCGCGGCGCCCACGGGGGGGCCCAGCCGGACCCGGGACACGGGACCCCCCCGCUGCCCCCCGGCGCCGUUUCAGGCCCCCAGGUUCGGCUCGCGCCGCUUGAGCCGGUGUCGGAGCGACCCCCCCCGCGCCGCCCCCCAGCUUUCCCGGGCGCUUCCAGCACCGCUUUAGUCCCCGGGUCGUUUCGGCCGGAUCCGCUGCGAAAAGCUUCCCGUUUUCCCGCAGGACUCGGACGCCGACGCCGCGGCGCUGAGAACCACGCG
This is a long non-coding RNA of Apteryx haastii (Great spotted kiwi), 2293 nucleotides long. NCBI's taxonomy places the organism in Eukaryota, Metazoa, Chordata, Aves, Apterygiformes, Apterygidae. The record is from Ensembl.